Molecule: non-coding RNA, 167 nt
Organism: Roseburia intestinalis XB6B4
Lineage: Bacteria; Bacillati; Bacillota; Clostridia; Lachnospirales; Lachnospiraceae
Source: Rfam
UAUGGCAGAGGAUUAGAAUAUCUUAGUAUGCCUGUCAAAAACCAGUGUUGUGCUGCCAUGGACGGUAGCACAAGUCUUAAUGCACCCGGAUGGUGCAUUUAAGACGCACACGUCCCUCGUCCACAACCUGUAUCAGGCAUACUUAGAUAUUCUUAUCCUCGAACAAC